This 450-nucleotide ribosomal RNA is filed under the name uncultured bacterium. RNAcentral describes it as "partial 16S ribosomal RNA". It matches the Rfam family "Bacterial small subunit ribosomal RNA", at positions 338 to 795 of the family's 1533-position model. The record is from RNAcentral.
CCUACGGGGGGCUGCAGUAAGGACUAUUGGUCAAUGGACGCAAGUCUGAACCAGCCAUGCCGCGUGGAGGAUGAAGGUCCUCUGGAUUGUAAACUUCUUUUAUUUGGGAAGAAACUCCCGAUUUCCAUCGGGAUUGACGGUACCAGAUGAAUAAGCACCGGCUAACUCCGUGCCAGCAGCCGCGGUAAUACGGAGGGUGCAGGCGUUAUCCGGUUUAACGGGUGCUUAGGGGUGCGGGUGUGGGCAGGGUGGAAUCUCCGGGCUUAACCCGGAAACUGCCAUUGAUACUAUUUGUCUUGAAUACUCUGGAGGUGAGCGGAAUAUGUCAUGUAGCGGUGAAAUGCUUAGAUAUGACAUAGAACACCCAUUGCGAAGGCAGCUCACUACGGAAAUAUUGACGCUGAGGCACGAAAGCGUGGGGAUCAAACAGGAUUAGAUACCCUGGUAGUC